Molecule: long non-coding RNA, 2767 nt
Filed under: Sus scrofa (pig)
Lineage: Eukaryota; Metazoa; Chordata; Mammalia; Artiodactyla; Suidae
Description: lncRNA (ENSSSCG00050012136.1)
Source: RNAcentral
UUUGAGAUACGUGGUCACAUGUUGAAAGGGUGAUGAUUUAGCACGAUUCUGGGAUUUCUCUUCCAGCAGCGUUUGGUUUCUUGGGUGUGGACACAGAGGAGGUGGGUGAUUGUCUUCAAUGGUGGAUGGGCUCUGAUGGCGGAGUGAGAGAUGCAGCGAGAGAUGGGCAGAAGAGGUGUUUGUAAAGAGGCCACAAGAGCAGGGGACACAUGGAAACUAAGCUGCAUAAGGAGGGAAGUGAGAACUUGAGAAAAGUGAAAACUUGAGAUCAAGAAAAAAAUGGUGGAAUUUGUGGAUUUAAUGGAAUUAAUAAAAUUGUGGGCUGGAGUUCUGAAGGAAGUGUGCUGGAAGAUGGUGGUCAGGGAAGCAUAUCUUUGUAUAUAAAUUUGAACUCUUUUUUUAUGAUUUAUUUUGCAAAUUGAAGAUGGGUACUUGUGAGCCUAAAGACACAGGUCUCCAGUCCUGUUGAGGUACAACCAGCAAUGCUCCUUCCUUCUCUUGGUUUUAUCGUCUUUACAUACUUCUGGUGCAUCAGUGGAUACAUUAGUAUAGCUCAUUGCAAAUCAAAGUCAGAUCACGUGUCAUCUUCACCAAAUCUGGCAAUGGUACUUGCUGCCACGUAUGUGCAUUCUUAAAAGGUUUAUUUUUGUUGGAUUAAGUGGAGAACCAGUGAUUUUCUCCAUGCUCUCCUUACGAUUCCCUGGUCUAUACCACGUUAGUGAAGGCUGUGUCUUAGUUGUUGAUAACCCAAGCCCAGUGAGUCCCAGUAGGCAGAGAUGGACUCAUUGUAGAUAAUGAGUGUUGGCACCUCAUCAGGGCAGAGAGAGCCUGUGAUCUAAACAACAGCUCUGAUAGGAAGGGCGGGAGGGCAUGUAGAUUGUUCCCACUGUACAGAUGAGGUCACAGUCCUGGAGAGGUUAAUUCCUGCCCCUCCUGCUGUCUUCCCCACCUUAGAAAAAGUACCACUAUUUACUUAGUUGCCCAAGAAGACUGAAACCUCGAAGUCACUCUUGGUCCCCCUGCCCCCCCACCCCCCAUCCCUCAUCUAUGUCAUCUUUUCCACAAAUCAGUCCUGAGUGAAUAAAUGAGGGAAGGAAGGCAUGAGUUAUACAGCUUCAGUUCAGCUCUCGUUGAGCACCCACCUAGGGCUCCUGGGGUGGAGAAAACAUCCCCGUCUCACUUCUUUCCAUCCCGGCUUCCAAAUGAGAGACUACUUCACUUUAAGAAUUAUACAGGGCUAAAUAAAUGUUUCAGGAUGAGCUUGUACAUUUACAUCGCAAAAUGCUUAUAAACUUUAAAAUACGGUAAUUACACUUGUUUAUGAAUUCCAAGUUAUUAAAAGAGCAUGAAUUCGCAGGCAGCACAGAAUUCACUCUACGAGUAUCUUUGGGGUGAUUAUCGAUACGUCUAUUGAUACUCCUUACUUGAAAUACCACAUACACAUCUUAAAUUUUAAUUAUUAUAAAAAAAUACACCAAAAUGGUAUUGAUAUAAAUACACAUGAUUAACCAGUACAGGAUUAAGCAAAUAACUUGCAGCAAACUAAGUUGAUAAUUACGGACUAAUUAUAAAAUUGUAAUUUAAGUAGCGGCAACUGAAAAUCAUGAUUAACUCAAGACAGUAUAGAACGAACACACACACAUACACACACACACACACACACAGAUGUCCUUUCAUAAAAUUGUUGAGUUGGAAGGAAGAGUAUGGAUCACAGGCUCUGUAUGUCUGUGUAUUCUGAAUUUUCCAAAAGUGGACACUGUGAUAUUUCUGUGACUGCCUUGACGGAGCACUGAACUAGAAUCCUUGGCAAGCUUCAAUAAUGCACUGAUUUUAGUUUAUGAGUGCCCUUGUGUCAAUCAUAAAAAAUUCUCUUCAGAGGUUAGUAUCUAGAAAAUAGGCUCCACAUAUACAUGAAAAUGAAUGUCUGAGGAACUGAAGGCUAUUUUCCAGGAAAAACUACAGAAAGGAUUUAUCAUUUUUGCAUUUGCUUAUAGUCCCUUGGAAGAAUCCUAUGGGCCACCAGUAGGCUGUGGACAAUUGAUUGUGAAGCAGCAGUCAGUAUUGAUAACUCUCAAAUCAAGACCCCUACCUUUGGCUUCUAUCAUCAGAUAUCCAUUCAUGCAAUCUCUACAAUCACUCCUUUCCCACACUUUCCACCAUACUCAUUUUUUUUUAAGAGAAGGCACUUCAAGAGGUCAUUUAUUUCUAGCUGCUUGAGUAAGAGUAAUAAAAAGUUUAUAUACACCUUAGAGUUUUCCUUUAUUUCAUAGUUCACAGACCCAGAUUUUUUUCUUUGUUUUAGUUAAGUCACUGAUUAUAGAAUUAUGUUUUAGAGGGGCUUUACUUUUCAUACAAACUCAGCAUCAAAAAAUUUAGUUGACUAUUGCUAUCUUGUUGUGCAAACAGUGCAACCCAUGAGGACCUAAUCUCCAAAAAUAUAUAAACAGCUCCUACAACUCAACAACCAAAAAAACAAACAACCCAAUCAAAAAAAUGGGCAGAAAGAGUUCCCGUGGUGGAGCAGCGGAAAUGAAUCCGACUAGGAACCAUGAGGUUGCGGGUUCAAUCCCUGGCCUUGCUCAGUGGGGAAAGGAUACUGCGUUGCUGUGAGCUGUGGUGUAGGUUGCAGACGCAGCUCAGAUCCCGCAUUGCUGUGGCUCUGGGGUAGGCCGGUGGCUACAGCUCCGAUUCAACCCCUAGCCUAGGAACCUCCAUAUGCUGUGGGUGCAGCCCUAAAAAGACAAAAGACAAAAAAAAAAAAAAAAAA